Molecule: non-coding RNA, 115 nt
Organism: Triticum aestivum (bread wheat)
Lineage: Eukaryota; Viridiplantae; Streptophyta; Magnoliopsida; Poales; Poaceae
Source: Rfam
UUGCUACUCCCUCCGUUCGGAAUUACUUGUCGUGAAAAUGGAUGUAUCUAGACGUAUUUUAGUUCUAUAUACAUCCAUUCCCGAGACAAGUAAUUCCGAACGGAGGGAGUAGAUG